Molecule: long non-coding RNA, 867 nt
Organism: Arabidopsis lyrata subsp. lyrata
Lineage: Eukaryota; Viridiplantae; Streptophyta; Magnoliopsida; Brassicales; Brassicaceae
Exons: 2
Source: RefSeq, a predicted model, not a curated record
AUUGAAAAUUUUGCACUACAGAGCACUUUUUGUAAACUCAAUAACGCAUAGACACACUUUGUGCUAUGGACACACUUUUUAUGUGUGUAUUGACUAAAAUAACCUUUAACUAGAACUUCCCUUCUAACUACAAUAUUAUUCCUUUUAUCUUUAAUAUUUCACAUUAAAAAAUAAUGAGUGAGGAGGAUUCAUAUUAGGAUUUGGGAUUGGGGUUGGUGAAUCAAUGAUAACGAAUCUGGUUAUCUUCUUUCUCUUUCUUGCUUGGUAUCUCUCCUUUGAUUCAUCUCUGAUUUUCAUAUCUAUUGCCUAAUAGAAAAUGAGUGAGGAGGAUUCAUAUUAGGAUUUGGGAUUGGGGUUGGUGAAUCAAUGAUAACGAAUCUGGUUUCCAAUUUAUCACUCACCACCACGGCACCACCGCAUCUCUGUGACCUCCGUCACCGCCUCUUAAACUCUAGAUCGAGAACAAUCGCUGUUCGACUGCGAUAGUGUCGACGUCUUCGCUGGUACUCUCUCCGAUUGGGCCGCUCUUCGCCGUCGGCUCUCUCCAUAACCUUGUCGGCUAUGGCUAGGUUGGGUAAUCGUCACCGGACGAGCCCCCAUUUUUCUCUAUUGGCUAGGCUUGUUUCAUGAAUGAUGUGUUGCAAACAAGGUUCGUUCGUUUGUUCACAAAUGUGUGGACAUGUUUUAGUGGAUAUGUUGCUUAAGAAGAAUUAUGUUCAGAUUCUUUCAUCACUUUUCUUUCCUCGUUUUCUCUCAGUACUCCAUCGACUCGUGACGAUGUCCAACUCUUAAUAAACCUCAUAUCAUCAUUCACCGAUUUCAAAUCUUGUCAUCUUUUAUUCUUGGAAGCUAUAUUUGAUGCUUGUU